Molecule: non-coding RNA, 972 nt
Organism: Elaeis guineensis (African oil palm)
Lineage: Eukaryota; Viridiplantae; Streptophyta; Magnoliopsida; Arecales; Arecaceae
Source: RefSeq, a predicted model, not a curated record
CAUGCGACUCUCCAUGCCCGUCUUCGUUAUACUUUGUUUCUUCUUUACCUUCUGUUUUACCUCUUCAACCAACUUCCAAGCUUCUGCAGGCUAUCAGGCUCAUGCUAACGUAUCAACCAUGCAAGUGUAGGGAUCCAACUCCCUGGGCAAUACCACACCUCUCCCUCAUGAAAUUGAAGUAGUUUAUCCCUUGCUCAACCAGACCGCAUCCGUAAUGGCUACAGGCACUCGAAACAGCUAUAAAAAUUAUAAAAAAAACUUAAAAAGAAAGAAAGAAAGAAAGAAAAGUGACCGCAUUCGGUUAAAAACCCAUGCUUACCAUCUGCUCAAAAAACUCCUAUAGCUUGUAAACUGAAUCCAUGAGAAGCAUAACCAGUGAUCAUAGGUGUCCAAGAUACUACAUUCUUAAUUCUUACCCUAUGGAAGGUUUUCAAUUCUUGCAUAGCUCAAGUUGCCUGAUUUUUAAUACAUGUCAAUAAGAUCAGUUUCGAGUUUCGACCAUCUCCACUGCCAGACAUUGCUCUCAGUGCCUGAGCAUGGGUCUCUUUGCCUGCAGAGGAAUGAGACGGAGGGAUCAGGAAGAAGCCUGGGAGAAGAGGUGGAGGGCGUCAGACUAGCGAGCCGGGGGAGGCAAGAAGGCUGGAGUACGCGGUGAGGAGCUGGCUGGCGGUGACGGGAUCCCGGUCCAGGUCGAGCUUAAGAAACCGAGCUAGAUGGAGAGAUCCAUUAGUCUCCUCGAAUCCCUCUCGUGAAGAACGAAGAGGCGACGGUUAAUGGCAGAAAAUAUUGUGACAAAACAGAUAUCCUGGGGUUUUGGCAAGCAUACCAUCUGCUUGAAAACUUUCGGAUCCUGCUGCACCAAGUACCUGUUCAAAGAAUUAAAUUACCGGAAAUACAAAGAAAAUAAUCCUAACAAAAACAUUAGAGCCGAAAUGAAGACAUGUUAUAUAGUCCACUCAAUUCUAAAUGCCA